Molecule: unclassified non-coding RNA, 161 nt
Filed under: uncultured fungus
Lineage: Eukaryota; Fungi
Description: sequence contains ITS1
Source: RNAcentral
UCAGGUUGGGAGUUUUGUCUCCUAGGGUCCAUUGGCCCGUUAACACGCUUGCCUUUUUGCGUACCUUCUAUUUCCUCGGCAGGCCUGCCUGCCGUUAGGGACUUUCAACCAACCUAUUUUGUAAUCUCAGCAUUAACAUUCUGAUAACCCUUUCAAUCUUA